UGUGGGGUCCUUGGUGCUCUCUGAGCUUGGUUCUUUUCUUGCAGACAUUUCAUGACCCAACUAGAUAACACCAUCCAUGCUAGAAAGGAGUAGGGUUUGUGCAGAGGAGGAGGAGGACUGUGCG
This is a non-coding RNA of Pseudonaja textilis, 124 nucleotides long. The record is from RefSeq and is a predicted model, not a curated record. Lineage: Eukaryota; Metazoa; Chordata; Lepidosauria; Squamata; Elapidae.